CCUACGGGAGGCAGCAGUGGGGAAUAUUGGGCAAUGGAGGAAACUCUGACCCAGCGACGCCGCGUGCGGGAUGAAGGCCUUCGGGUUGUAAACCGCUUUCAGCAGGGAAUAAGCGCAAGUGAAGGUACCUGCAGAAGAAGCACCGGCUAACUAUGUGCCAGCAGCCGCGGUAAUACAUAGGGUGCAAGCGUUGUCCGGAAUUAUUGGGCGUAAAGAGCUCGUAGGUGGUUUGUUACGUCGGAUGUGAAAAUCAGGGGCUCAACCCCUGACCUGCAUUCGAUACGGGCAAGCUGGAGUUUGGUAGGGGAGACUGGAAUUCCUGGUGUAGCGGUGGAAUGCGCAGAUAUCAGGAGGAACACCGAUGGCGAAGGCAGGUCUCUGGGCCAAUACUGACACUGAGGAGCGAAAGCGUGGGGAGCGAACAGGAUUAGAUACCCUGGUAGUCCACGCCGUAAACGGUGGGCACUAGUUGUGCGAACCUUCCACGGUUUGUGCGACGCAGCUACGCAUAAGUAGCCCGCCGUCGGGAGGUACGAGUCGCGAAGAAUUAAACUAACGAAGGAAGUUAGUACGGCGUGAGACGUGCCGAACGGACGACGACGAGGGAGGUAGG
RNAcentral lists this ribosomal RNA (613 nucleotides) under uncultured bacterium. RNAcentral's name for it is "bacterial SSU rRNA". The stretch from base 1 to 522 matches the Rfam family "Bacterial small subunit ribosomal RNA", at positions 338 to 873 of the family's 1533-position model. The record is from RNAcentral.